UGCAAGUCGAGCGGUAGAGAGAAGCUUGCUUCUCUUGAGAGCGGCGGACGGGUGAGUAAUACCUAGGAAUCUGCCUGAUAGUGGGGGAUAACGUUCGGAAACGGACGCUAAUACCGCAUACGUCCUACGGGAGAAAGCAGGGGACCUUCGGGCCUUGCGCUAUCAGAUGAGCCUAGGUCGGAUUAGCUAGUUGGUGAGGUAAUGGCUCACCAAGGCUACGAUCCGUAACUGGUCUGAGAGGAUGAUCAGUCACACUGGAACUGAGACACGGUCCAGACUCCUACGGGAGGCAGCAGUGGGGAAUAUUGGACAAUGGGCGAAAGCCUGAUCCAGCCAUGCCGCGUGUGUGAAGAAGGUCUUCGGAUUGUAAAGCACUUUAAGUUGGGAGGAAGGGCAUUAACCUAAUACGUUAGUGUUUUGACGUUACCGACAGAAUAAGCACCGGCUAACUCUGUGCCAGCAGCCGCGGUAAUACAGAGGGUGCAAGCGUUAAUCGGAAUUACUGGGCGUAAAGCGCGCGUAGGUGGUUUGUUAAGUUGAAUGUGAAAUCCCCGGGCUCAACCUGGGAACUGCAUCCAAAACUGGCAAGCUAGAGUAUGGUAGAGGGUAGUGGAAUUUCCUGUGUAGCGGUGAAAUGCGUAGAUAUAGGAAGGAACACCAGUGGCGAAGGCGACUACCUGGACUGAUACUGACACUGAGGUGCGAAAGCGUGGGGAGCAAACAGGAUUAGAUACCCUGGUAGUCCACGCCGUAAACGAUGUCAACUAGCCGUUGGGAGUCUUGAACUCUUAGUGGCGCAGCUAACGCAUUAAGUUGACCGCCUGGGGAGUACGGCCGCAAGGUUAAAACUCAAAUGAAUUGACGGGGGCCCGCACAAGCGGUGGAGCAUGUGGUUUAAUUCGAAGCAACGCGAAGAACCUUACCAGGCCUUGACAUCAAUGAACUUUCUAGAGAUAGAUUGGUUGCCUUCGGGAACAUUGAGACAGGUGCUGCAUGCUGUCGUCAGCUCGUGUCGUGAGAUGUUGGGUAAAGUCCGUAACGAGCGCAAACCUUGUCCUUAGUUACCAGCACGUAAUGGUGGGCACUCUAAGGAGACUGCCGGUGACAAACCGGAGGAAGGUGGGGAUGACGUCAAGUCAUCAUGGCCUUACGGCCUGGGCUACACACGUGCUACAAUGGUCGGUACAAAGGGUUGCCAAGCCGCGAGGUGGAGCUAAUCCCAUAAAACCGAUCGUAGUCCGGAUCGCAGUCUGCAACUCGACUGCGUGAAGUCGGAAUCGCUAGUAAUCGUGAAUCAGAAUGUCACGGUGAAUACGUUCCCGGGCCUUGUACACACCGCCCGUCACACCAUGGGAGUGGUUGCACCAGAAGUAGCUAGUCUAACCCUCGGGAGGACGGUUACCACGGUGUGAUUCAUGACUGGGGUGAAGUCGUAA
This 1436-nucleotide ribosomal RNA is filed under the name Pseudomonas psychrophila. RNAcentral describes it as "bacterial SSU rRNA". It matches the Rfam family "Bacterial small subunit ribosomal RNA". Lineage: Bacteria; Pseudomonadati; Pseudomonadota; Gammaproteobacteria; Pseudomonadales; Pseudomonadaceae. The record is from RNAcentral.